GACGAACGCUGGCGGCGUGCUUAACACAUGCAAGUCGAACGGAAAGGCCCUGCUUUUGUGGGGUGCUCGAGUGGCGAACGGGUGAGUAACACGUGAGUAACCUGCCCUUGACUUUGGGAUAACUUCAGGAAACUGCGGCUAAUACCGGAUAGGAGCUCCUGCUGCAUGGUGGGGGUUGGAAAGUUUCGGCGGUUGGGGAUGGACUCGCGGCUUAUCAGCUUGUUGGUGGGGUAGUGGCUUACCAAGGCUUUGACGGGUAGCCGGCCUGAGAGAGUGACCGGCCACAUUGGGACUGAGAUACGGCGCAGACUCCUACGGGAGGCAGCAGUGGGGAAUAUUGCACAACGGGCGGAAGCCUGAUGCAGCAACGCCGCGUGCGGGAUGACGGCCUUCGGGUUGUAAACCGCUUUCGCCUGUGACGAAGCGUGAGUGACGGUAAUGGGUAAAGAAGCACCGGCUAACUACGUG
RNAcentral lists this ribosomal RNA (468 nucleotides) under uncultured bacterium. Its description in RNAcentral is "partial 16S ribosomal RNA". It matches the Rfam family "Bacterial small subunit ribosomal RNA", at positions 28 to 507 of the family's 1533-position model. The record is from RNAcentral.